Eupeodes corollae is the source of this 1421-nucleotide long non-coding RNA. RefSeq lists it as uncharacterized. NCBI's taxonomy places the organism in Eukaryota, Metazoa, Arthropoda, Insecta, Diptera, Syrphidae. The record is from RefSeq and is a predicted model, not a curated record. The transcript has 2 exons.
UUUAACAUCAUUUAUAUGGAUUUGUUAGACAAAUUCGUACAUAGUUAAUUUUUGCAUUGUAUGUUUAUUCUUAAAUCUAAAAUUGAUUAUUCAGAAAAACUGAAAUGGUGCAUAGUGUACCAUGGUAGGUACUAAAUGAACCAGUCUUAUGUCCACAAUGCACCAUGUAGGUACUCAAUGCACCACCAACUAACAUUUAUAAAUAAAACAAGCAUUUCAAGUGAUACUGAAUUUUAUUCAAAUGGGAAUACAUUGUAUCUUUAAGAAUAAAAACAAAAAUAGUUCAUUUAACACUUAUAAAAUAUAUAAAAAAUUAAUAAUAACAAAAAAUGUAAAUAAAUUAAAUAUUUCUCUUCAAGAGAUUUAAAAAAAAAAAACAGCCAAAAAAUUCAUUAAUAUCCGUUAAACGGAUAAUAGAUUAACAUAUGUUUAGUUUGAAAACAUAUUCAGAAAAUUUGUACAGUGAUUGUUGUCCUGAUACAGAAGGAUCUUUAAGAAUAUAUUUUAUCUCCCCCUCAUUGACUAGUGCAAAAUCUGGGCCUUGUGGCAUACAAAAAAGCUCAUUAGCCUUUGAUUUUAGUCUCAAAAAUGAAAUGAACCAUUCGUUACUACUGUUUUUAGGUUCUAAUAUUUUUCCAAUAUAGCAAACUUUGGAUUUUUUUGACUUAUAAGUCACUAAUACAAAAUCAUUUACAGAAGGAGAUCGAAUUAAUGGACGUUCAAUAGUCUUAUAGUCUAAAAUAACUGAAUCAUUUGUUAAAAUAUCAUCUUCAGAUAAUUUAAAAUUGUCCUCUGAGUCAUCAAGUGGUAAUGAGACAUCAGUUUCGCUAUCACUUUCCUUAACUAUUUCAUUUUUCUCGUGAGUGUCUAUAGCAAUAAUGCUUCUACCAGCCAGCGGUGCGCUUCCUGGGCUUACGAGGACCAGCUUUCAUUUGUGGUCUAAAAUCAAAUGGGCUUAAAAAAGGCAAUCUUUGGCAGUGAUGCCAUAAAAAAUACUUGCACAGUAGUCAAUGUAUUGUUUAAGUGAUGUUUCCUGUUCCUCAGUAAAAAUCAUUAAAUGCUGGUAAUUUGGAGUCAAGCGGAUGUCGGAAAGAGGAUCCGAAUUCAUUGAUUUUAAAAAAUAUCUUCGUACUGUGUGGUACGAAAGCUUGCAUUCCUUUGCAGCCUUUCGAAUCGACAUUCCGGCAUCGAUAUUCAAGAGACCUUGUUUCAUCUCAUCCCUUGUGUGGAAUCCCUUCUUCCUAUUCGAAACUGGCUUCCUUGGUAUCUAAAACAAAAUUAGAAAAAUCUGAGUAAAUUUUCUAGACAAGUGGGUGCAAAAUGCACCAUGGUGCAUUUAAUACCAUGUUGUUGUGGUGCAUAGUGCACUACCCCCUCACUUUAUUUUGAAGUCAAAAUAAAUCGCUAUCUACCCAAUUAUA